RNAcentral lists this unclassified non-coding RNA (166 nucleotides) under soil metagenome. RNAcentral describes it as "partial internal transcribed spacer 1". The record is from RNAcentral.
UCGAGUUACACCUCCCAAACCCUUGUGAACAUACCUACUGUUUCGCGGCAGGGGUCCCCGGGACCCUCCCGCCCGCGCCCCCGUAAACAGGGGACGUGCCCCGCCGCAGGAUAACCCUAACUCUAGUUUUACGGACGUUCUUCUGAGUGCUACAAACAAAUAAUUA